GACGAACGCUGGCGGCGUGCUUAACACAUGCAAGUCGAACGGUAAGGCCCUGUUUUUGUGGGGUGCUCGGGUGGCGAACGGGUGAGUAACACGUGAGUAACCUGCCCUUGCCUUUGGUAUAACUUCAGGAAACUGGGGCUAAUACCGGAUAGGAGCUCCUGCUGCUUGGUGGGGGUUGGUAAGUUUCGGCGGUUGGAGAUGGACUUGCGGCUUAUCAGCGUGUUGGUGGGGUAGUGGCUUACCAAGGCUUGGACGGGUAGCCGGCCUGAGAGGGUGACCGGCCACAUUGGGACUGAGAUACGGCCCAGACGCCUACGGGAGGGAGCAGUGGGGAAUAGUGCACUAUGGGCGGAAGCCGGAUGCAGCAACGCCGCGUGCGGGAUGACGGCCUUCGGGUUGUAAACCGCUUUCGCCUGGGACGAAGCGGGAGUGACGGUAAUGGGUAAAGAAGCACCGGCUAACUACGUG
This 468-nucleotide ribosomal RNA is filed under the name uncultured bacterium. RNAcentral describes it as "partial 16S ribosomal RNA". It matches the Rfam family "Bacterial small subunit ribosomal RNA", at positions 28 to 507 of the family's 1533-position model. The record is from RNAcentral.